GACGAACGCUGGCGGCGUGCCUAAUACAUGCCAGUUGAGCGCUGAAGGUUGGUACUUGUACCAACUGGAUGAGCAGCGCACGGGUGAGUAACGCGUGGGGAAUCUGCCUUUGAGCGGGGGACAACAUUUGGAAACGAAUGCUAAUACCGCAUAAAAACUUUAAACACAAGUUUUAAGUUUGAAAGAUGCAAUUGCAUCACUCAAAGAUGAUCCCGCGUUGUAUUAGCUAGUUGGUGAGGUAAAGGCUCACCAAGGCGAUGAUACAUAGCCGACCUGAGAGGGUGAUCGGCCACAUUGGGACUGAGACACGGCCCAAACUCCUACGGGAGGCAGCAGUAGGGAAUCUUCGGCAAUGGACGAAAGUCUGACCGAGCAACGCCGCGUGAGUGAAGAAGGUUUUCGGAUCGUAAAACUCUGUUGGUAGAGAAGAACGUGGGUGAGAGUGGAAAGCUCAUCAAGUGACGGUAACUACCCAGAAAGGGACGGCUAACUACGU
Molecule: ribosomal RNA, 496 nt
Filed under: uncultured bacterium
Lineage: Bacteria
Description: partial 16S ribosomal RNA
Rfam family: Bacterial small subunit ribosomal RNA
Source: RNAcentral